AUGAACGCUAGCGGCAGGCCUAACACAUGCAAGUCGAGGGAGAAGCCUUUCGGGGCAGAAACCGGCGCACGGGUGCGUAACGCGUAUGCAACCUACCUUUCACAGGGGGAUAGCCCGAAGAAAUUUGGAUUAAUACCCCAUAAUAUUGUUGGAUGGCAUCAUCUGAUAAUUAAAACUGCGGUGGUGAAAGAUGGGCAUGCGUCCUAUUAGCUAGUUGGAGUGGUAACGGCACCCCAAGGCUACGAUAGGUAGGGGUCCUGAGAGGGAGAUCCCCCACACUGGUACUGAGACAGGGACCAGACUCCUACGGGAGGCAGCAGUGAGGAAUAUUGGUCAAUGGUCGGAAGACUGAACCAGCCAUGCCGCGUGCAGGAAGAAUGCCUUAUGGGUUGUAAACUGCUUUUAUAUGGGAAGAAUAAGGUGUACGUGUACAUUGAUGACGGUACCAUAUGAAUAAGCAUCGGCUAACUCCGUG
RNAcentral lists this ribosomal RNA (475 nucleotides) under uncultured bacterium. RNAcentral describes it as "partial 16S ribosomal RNA". It matches the Rfam family "Bacterial small subunit ribosomal RNA", at positions 29 to 507 of the family's 1533-position model. The record is from RNAcentral.